This is a long non-coding RNA of Triticum aestivum (bread wheat), 1461 nucleotides long. RefSeq lists it as uncharacterized. The transcript has 3 exons. The record is from RefSeq and is a predicted model, not a curated record. Lineage: Eukaryota; Viridiplantae; Streptophyta; Magnoliopsida; Poales; Poaceae.
AAAUAUCCACGUCCUACGUCCGCAACCCUCAGCGCCAAAUGUCCCGCAAAGAAAAACUUAGGGCAGAAAAAAGUCUCACGCCGCCGCCGCCAUCGUUUGCCUGCGCCGCCGCCACCGCCACCGUUUGCCCGCGCCACCGCCCUUCCCGCGACGCCCCACCAGGCUACCACAACAGGACCUGCCCAGGCGUGCUCUUGAUUCACCGGUCUUCCCUGCUGGCCCUCCCCUUGGCCCCAUAUUUGUCUUCGAUUCGCCUCUGCUCGAUGAAGGACGACAUCAGCCUUGACCAAGGACUGUAGAGGUGGAUCCAUGAUCUACCAGCCCCGGUAAGGACGUAUGAGGAUGGUGGCGCCGUGAUGUGGGAUGAGGAUCAAGGGCCGGGCACCUAUGAGGAUGGAUGGGAUCGACUUGCUGUCGACGAAAGACGAGAUCAAAUAGCAGUUAUCUUUUCGGAGGGACGGAUCGACCCCACUGUCGAGAUAUGGAUGCGGGCAUCUUCCGUGCGCGGUUUUGCGUAUGCUUGAGCUGUAAGCUCUCUGCUAGCUCUAGAAAAUUGCUGAUUCAUUUGGUGAUUCAUCUUUGUUACUGAUCAUCGUAGUGCUUAUCGAAUGAUAUUAUGAUAAUGGAGCUUAUUUCAGUUAGAAACGUUGUUAGCUCUGCCUCUCAUGUAGUCUUUCUUGUAUGCAUGGAUGGGGCUGAACAUUCAUAAGCAGAAGAUUCUUAAUUUAAUUGGAUCAAAUUGUUUCAUAUAAUCUUCCCUAUGAUGACUUCAGGCUGCAUGGCUCCACUGUGUACUCUGUUUUGCAGAGAUUCCAUAGGCAGGUUUGGCUAUGCAGGUUUCUCCUGUCCAUAUGUAGCUCGGGUCAAUUUAGAGCUUUCGUAGCCAUUACCGGAGCUACAAGAAACCACCAUGUCUUCUAUAUCGUUCUGACUACUGGGUUGCUGCAACAAGUCGCUAUUGGUCAUGAUUGAUUCUUGUGUUAAAGAAGAUGGUUCUAAGUGGGCUACUGAAACAACGGCAAUAUUCCAAGAAGGCUAAGAACAUGGAGAGCACAAGGAACAUAUUCCUAAUCAGGCAACAACCUUCUUUGAUACAUUAUUUGUUCAUCGGAAGUCCUUGAAGAAGGAUGGAUACAACAGAUGCAGAGAUCUACAGGUUGUUUCCGGGCAUAUUGGAGAUGUCACAAUAAAUGUUCAGCCUUGUUAUCUGCAGAAAAAUAAAUGAUUGUCUGGUUUGGUUUUGGAUUAUUAGAAGUUCCAGUCAUGUCAUGAAUCAUGAGUAAGUUUGUAAAAUUCUUUCUUAUGAGGCCUGAUAGAUUGUCAUUCAGUAUGCUGCUGCCACUUAGUAAUGUAACCUCAUAAGAGGUGGAGAGUAUUUAUUCUCAGGAUGAGAGCAAUAAUUAGAUUUUCCUUUAAUGCUAAAACAUUAUCUUGGAUUUUUGUACAAAAUAAUAUGACUGA